Molecule: transfer RNA, 71 nt
Filed under: Loxodonta africana (African savanna elephant)
Lineage: Eukaryota; Metazoa; Chordata; Mammalia; Proboscidea; Elephantidae
Rfam family: tRNA
About the family: Transfer RNA (tRNA) molecules are approximately 80 nucleotides in length. Their secondary structure includes four short double-helical elements and three loops (D, anti-codon, and T loops). Further hydrogen bonds mediate the characteristic L-shaped molecular structure. tRNAs have two regions of fundamental functional importance: the anti-codon, which is responsible for specific mRNA codon recognition, and the 3' end, to which the tRNAs corresponding amino acid is attached (by aminoacyl-tRNA synthetases). tRNAs cope with the degeneracy of the genetic code in two manners: having more than one tRNA (with a specific anti-codon) for a particular amino acid; and 'wobble' base-pairing, i.e. permitting non-standard base-pairing at the 3rd anti-codon position.
Source: Rfam by way of RNAcentral
ACAGUGGUGGUUCAGUGGUAGAAUUCUCACCUUCCAUGCAGGAGACCUGGGUUUGAUUCCCAGUCAGUGCA